UCGAACGGUAACAGCAGAGCUUGCUCUGGCUGACGAGUGGCGGACGGGUGAGUAACGCGUAGGAAUCUACCCAGUAGCGGGGGAUAGCCCGGAGAAAUCCGGAUUAAUACCGCAUACGCCUUUCGGGGGAAAGGCCGGGAUCUUCGGACCGGUCACUAUUGGAUGAGCCUGCGUCGGAUUAGCUAGUUGGUGGGGUAAAGGCCCACCAAGGCGACGAUCCGUAGCUGGUCUGAGAGGAUGAUCAGCCACACUGGAACUGAGACACGGUCCAGACUCCUACGGGAGGCAGCAGUGGGGAAUAUUGCACAAUGGGCGCAAGCCUGAUGCAGCCAUGCCGCGUGUGUGAAGAAGGCUUUCGGGUUGUAAAGCACUUUCAGAAGGGAGGAAGGCCUGGUGGUUAAUAGCUAUCAGGAUUGACGUUACCUUCAGAAGAAGCACCGGCUAACUCCGUGCCAGCAGCCGCGGUAAUACGGAGGGUGCAAGCGUUAAUCGGAAUUACUGGGCGUAAAGCGCGCGUAGGCGGUUUGGUCAGUUGGAUGUGAAAGCCCCGGGCUUAACCUGGGAACUGCAUUCAAUACUGCCAAGCUAGAGUGUGAGAGAGGAGGGUAGAAUUUCUAGUGUAGCGGUGAAAUGCGUAGAUAUUAGAAGGAAUACCAGUGGCGAAGGCGGCCCUCUGGCUUAACACUGACGCUGAGGUGCGAAAGCGUGGGUAGCGAACAGGAUUAGAUACCCUGGUAGUCCACGCCGUAAACGAUGUCAACUAGCCGUUGGUGGGCUUGACCCAUUAGUGGCGCAGCUAACGCACUAAGUUGACCGCCUGGGGAGUACGGCCGCAAGGUUAAAACUCAAAUGAAUUGACGGGGGCCCGCNCAAGCGGUGGAGCAUGUGGUUUAAUUCGAUGCAACGCGAA
RNAcentral lists this ribosomal RNA (910 nucleotides) under uncultured bacterium. RNAcentral describes it as "bacterial SSU rRNA". It matches the Rfam family "Bacterial small subunit ribosomal RNA", at positions 62 to 965 of the family's 1533-position model. The record is from RNAcentral.